CUUGAAUGGAGCCUAACUGAGAUGAGCAUUGAUGAUGAACAACAUGUUGAUGAAGGAGCCAUCAAUGAUCUGAGAAAUAGCAUAAUUGACUGGGCUGAUGACGCUCCACUUGAAAGGCCUAUACAAAGGGAGGAAAUGGAC
Long non-coding RNA from Melanotaenia boesemani (Boeseman's rainbowfish), 141 nucleotides. RefSeq lists it as uncharacterized. The transcript has 3 exons. Lineage: Eukaryota; Metazoa; Chordata; Actinopteri; Atheriniformes; Melanotaeniidae. The record is from RefSeq and is a predicted model, not a curated record.